RNAcentral lists this unclassified non-coding RNA (5699 nucleotides) under Hevea brasiliensis (rubber tree). Lineage: Eukaryota; Viridiplantae; Streptophyta; Magnoliopsida; Malpighiales; Euphorbiaceae. The record is from RNAcentral.
AUAUAUAUAUAUAUAUAUAUUGGAUUUCCUUGCAUUUCGUAUCUAGUGAUCAUCGUCGGAAAUAGCCCAAAUAACGUCCGAAUAUUAAUUGGCAAGCGAUAUUCUUCUAUUUUUCUUUCAAUCGCAUGCUAUAUAUCUAUUCUAUUUGUUAGUUUCAGAAAAAAAAAUCUCUUUGUUUUUCCAUAUUUCAUAUUUGGAAAAGGGUAUGGAUUUUUUUUAAGCAAAUAAAUAAUUUUUAUUCAUAAAUAAUCAUCCGGCAUCUGAAAUAAAAUUAAUCUAAAAUACCAAAAUAAAAAAAAAAAUUGUAAAAAUUGUUUUCUGAUACCACUACUAACGGCUACCUGGCUCACUCGAAAUCAUGAUCCUAAUUUUAACAUGAAAAUUCUUUGAUAAUACUGCAUAUUUCUGUUGAUUGGAGAUUCUCACCAUAAUUGGUUAAAUCUUAAAAAAAUUGUAUCCAACUGCAUUAUUUAAAUAAAAACCAUAAUUGAUUCAUCUCUCAAAAAUCAAAAGCUCCCAGACGAUGAGGAGAAAGAAAAACUCUUAUAUAAAGAGGAAAAAUAACUCUUAUGUAAAGAUGAAAUGAGAUAACAAAAGAGAAGAACAAGAAAAGUCCAAGAAAUAGAGAGAAAUGAAAAAAAUUGGGUAAAACACUAUAUUAAAAAAGGAAAGGGAAAGGGACUUAUACCAGUGAAAAUGGCCGGUGACAGCCCCAAAAGGUUUUUUUCUUGAUAGAGAAAAAAGUAGAAAGAAGAGGGAGGAGUGCGAGUACACAUUGUUGAACCUGUCAUUUUUGGUUAAUUUCUUUAAUGUUCUUUUUAAAUUUUUAAAUAGAAUACUUUAUCUCAUUUUGAAUGUUAUCAUUAUCCUCUCCUACUUAUUUAAUAUAGCUCGUCAAUAGUUUGAUUCCACUAGUUAUGAUAUCUGUUCUUUAUCACCUAUCCUAUGAUUUGCUAUUUAAUGGAAAGAAAUCCUUUUGGUUAGUUCCUUAUCAUUCUUGGGUUUGAUCUAUUUGCUCUUUUAGGUGUUAUAUGUUGAUUGCCUACAGACCAUAAUGCGUGUUUAAUACUUUUUUUAGGCUCUUCAGGUGCCUAUGGCAUGAGGCUGAGGAAUCAGUAGGACUUGAACUUGAACAUAUCUAAAUUGUUGAACCUUAGAUUUCUUACAAUGGACGUGAAUAAGCAGGGGCAAGUGUGCAUUCUUGUCCCUGCAAACACUUUUGUGCCCAUAUGCUUCUGCACAUAAAGAAGAUGGACACAACAUCAGAUUAAGUGUGAAGCAGGCACUUAAUUUAUGUGAAAUGAUGAUGCUGACUUUGCAAUGUCUCUUUUGUUGAGUAAUAUGGGACAUAGGCAUGUUUAUAAUGAUCAAUCUUUCGUUACUAGUUAAUUCAAUAUUUUCCAUGUGUUGCUACAUUCAGAGACCUUAAAUUAGUCUUAUUGAUUUCUUUUCUGUAGAGUGAAUGCUAGAUCGCAUGUCUCUUGCUUGAAUUGCUUCUGAAAAUUCUGAGACGCCCCUAGCCUGUCUUUGCUGUGUUGUAUUACGACAUUGUGAUAAUGUGCACUGUAAAAUGUAAAUUGACCGCAAACUUCAUAUGGUUUUACACUGCAUUUUCACUUGCAUGAGAUAUCUUUUUCUUGAAAAUAUGCGCUUAUUAAUUGAUGAUUAUGCUUCAUGUCCACUGUUUUACUGUAAUUUCUUAAUGUCUACAAUUUUCUCUUAAUCAUUACAAAAAUGAGAUGGAGUUUUCAUUCUUGUUAUCUGGUGGUAUAUGUGACCCAUAGGGUUUGUAAUCUGGUUGACUUUAAAGAUUUUUUUUUAAUAUGUUUUUUCCUUUGAAGACAAGGAAAGAGAAGAUAUGUGUGCCCAUGUAUUAUUCUGUUUAGGGGUUUCGGUUAGUUUUCCUUUUUAGACGUAUAUUUUUUAAAUUCUACUUAGGAAACGUAUUUUUAUUGUUUUAGAAUUUUUGUCUGAAUGCUAUAUGGGAGAUUCAUGUGUUGUAGUAGAAUUUGUCUUUGUUUCCUACUUUCCUCGUUAGAAAAGUUUCAUAUUUCUUAUUUAAUGAUGUGCCUUGUAAGGGAUUGAUAAAAAGAAAAGAUAAAAGAAGAUCGGAUUUGGCACAUCUUUUAAUUUGAUGCCAGUAUAAAAGCAACUGUUGAUGAGUAAAAAUGUGUAUUAUCCUUCUAAAUGCAUGAUAUCCUUUUUCUCUUUCUCUCCUAUUAUCUUUCCUUCAUUAGUCUUCAGCUUUUACAUUGUGGUUGCCCUAACAAGUCUUAAAACUUGUAACUUUGACAGCAAUUCAAUAUAAUUAUGAUAUUGGCAACAUGAGAAUUUGGCUUUUCCAUCUUGUUGCAGAAAAUGAUUUUACCUCAGCUUUUGCAGGGGAAAUAUUACGAUAUUGUACCAUUCUUGGGACGCUAUAUAUUUUUUGUUAAAUUAGAAAAUGUUGGGUGGCAACAAUGGUAAUCCUGUACUUCCUGUUUUUUUGGAUGAGAAUCGUAUACCCUAUCAGUCUAAUCCUUCAAAUCAGCUGCAGUUAUUCAGUAAUUGUAAGUUCUCAUCUAAAAAUAUCUUGUGCUUAUUCUUGCUACACGAAUCUUACCUCAGUUUUGUGUAUAUAUGCAUAUGUUGUUUGAUGGUCUGGUUAGUUGUUUACCUUCUAGAAAGUUAGCUGUGGAGUAGUUGUCUUGUAAGUGCUAGCCAGGAGCAAUUUGUCUUUCUUUCCUGUCAUGCCUUACAGGAUAGAACUUCUCAAAAGUGGUUAACCUUUUGGAAAAGGAUAUGCAACAAACUUGUGGUGAGAAUGAGAAGUCGUGCAAAUAAAAGUUCUGCUUAUUAUGUGUUAGAUUUCUGAAUUAUUUUUUUUCCUAUUUUGCCGCAUUUUGAUUGCUUUUAGCUUUUUCUUUUCCCAAAGGAAAAUAUUUAUCCUAUGAUUAUUGUUGAUGCCAUGAUUGAUUUCCAAUUAGUUUUGUCUUCACAAUAAGUGUACAUAUUCUUAUUUGUAUAAGUUUGUUCAUGAAUGAUUGAGAAGUGGGUUAAUUUAGUGUUAAAACUAAAGAAUUUAAAAUUUAAACUUCUGGUUGAAUAUCAAUUAUAAGACAUCCUAUUAGUUUUGUCUAUUAUACGAACAACAUUUCACGUUGGUGUGUCAAUUAUAGCCAACUUUGAAAGGACAUAAUGCUAAAAUUCUCAAAUUUCUAAAAUAUUAUAUGCAUUUUUCUAAUAAAUCUGUAUUAACAUCUAAUAUGGUAUAUUAUGUGUAAGACCAGCAGAAAAUUGAAAUUAUUAUUACACUUGAUUUUUUUUUUCAAAAAAAGCUGUGUCUUCUCUCCUUACCGCUCCCUUUAAAUGUGCUUGUGUGAAAAUUUUAUACAUAAAAUAUGUGCAAUUUGUAAGUUUUGGCUUAUGUUUUUUCAAGUUGUUGAAAGUUUUGUAUGAUUUAAUCUAAUUAAAAGGAUUAGCUAUAAUUGCAAAUCCCAUUAAAGGUUCACAAGUUUUUGGUCAUUGAUUCUAAAUUUUACUUUGAUGACCAAUUUUGCUAGAUAUGUGGAAUUUGAAUAAAAAGAAAACAUGAGUGAGUCAUUAAAUUUUACCCAAAGAGGAUGGAAUCUGAGCAAAUUUUUCAUUUCACUCAUUCGAUGCGUGGGUUCAAAGUUUUCAACUAAUACAUUAAUCUUUAAUAGUUGAAUUUUAUAUUGUUGGUAUCCAUGGACAUAAAAUAGUUAGAAGGUAAACAACAGUCGAGUAAAAGAUUAUUAAUCACCUCUGACACUACUAGUAGACAUGUAUCUCUGGUUUCGGUUCUAGAUUAUAAAUCUUUCCCCUCACCUUUGUUGCCCUCUCUCUCUCUCAACAGUCAAUGUAUGCAUAAUGUAGUUUGACUGAUAUAUGAUAUGAAUCUUUUUUCAGUCCCAGCUGGAUGCAGUGUUGAUGCAGUGAAUUGUUUUGGGAAUGAGCAUUUGAGCCCUAUGCUUCGGCCCAAUAAGAGAGCCAGAGAAACAGAAGAUUUCAGUAGACAGCAAAAACUACAGAUUUCCUUAAAUUAUAACAUAUGGCAAGAUGAAGCUGACCGUUCAGCUAGCAUACCAAACCCAAACCCUGUAUCAACUGGGUUACGGUUAUCAUACGAUGAUGAUGAACGAAAUUCAUCUGUAACUUCUGCAAGUGGGAGUAUGAAAGUAGCACCGUCAAUCAUCCUGUCCCUUGGUGACAAUAUUAGGACUGAGCUUGAUCGGCAGAAAGAAGAAUUUGAUCAGUAUAUUAAAAUUCAGGUACCACUGCGUAUCUCCAAUAAGAUAUUACAUAGGUAGAUUUGUGGAAUGUGGAUUGCCUUUGUAUCAUGACUUUUGCUGCAUGUUAAUGGUUAGUAAAUUCUCUUGUACAUUGCUUGCUUUUAGUCCUCCGCAUAAACCUCAAUUCUGUUCUCCCACAUUCAUUAUUGUUUUACUGAAUAAUCUUGAUAUUCCAAUCUUCUCCUUACUAUUUCAGAUGACUUUGAAUUUGUUAUUAUUUGUCUCUUCUACAAAAUGCUUUGGUACUGUGGUAUUGUUUUAAUGAAUUCAACAUGAGCAUAUAAUCCAUUUUUUGGUGGGUCUCAUGGCAAUAUGUUCAUGUUACGGUACUGGGGUACUAUUGUUAGACAUAAGUCCCCCGUUUAUAUGCAUCUUGCUAUAAUACCUAAAAUAUCAUUCAUGUAAUAAUAUGUAAUAAUUUUUAACGCUGCUCCGCACCAAUUUAAUUAGACACUGUCUUCAAACAGGAAGAGCAUUUGGCAACGGGGGUGAGGGACAUGAAGCAGAGGCAUAUUGCUUCUUUCCUGGCUGCCAUAGAGAAGGGUGUAAGCAAGAAGCUGCGGGAAAAAGACCUAGAAAUAGACAACAUGAAUCGUAAAAACAAGGAAUUAAUUGAGAGAAUAAAGCAGGUGGCCAUGGAAGCUCAGAAUUGGCAUUACAGAGCAAAAUACAAUGAGUCAGUUGUGAAUGUUCUCAAGAGCAACCUCCAGCAGGCAAUUUCACAGGGUGCAGACCAAGGGAAGGAAGGAUUUGGAGACAGUGAGGUCGAUGAUGCUGCUUCUUACGUUGUCCCUAGCAGCUACCUGAACGUUCCAGGUGGGCAUGCAAGACCUCUCACCAAAAAUUGCCAAGGUUUGAUUGAACACAUAACCUGCAGGGCAUGCAAAUCAAAGGAAGUGUGCAUGUUGUUGAUGCCUUGUAGGCAUUUAUGUUUAUGUAGAGACUGUGACAUGUUAAUCAAUGUUUGCCCUGUAUGCCAGUUGAUCAAAACUUCCAGCGUUCAAGUUUACUUGUCGUAAAUUAUCAAGUAAAUCGUUCAAAAGUUACAUACAAUCUUGUUGCUGUGAGAUAUACGUUGACAGUUUCUUCCAUGACAUGAGUUGUACGUGGAGUAAACUCUAUUUCACAAAAUGAGGUAUGGGAAAUUAUAUUUUGGUACUGGCGCCUCCUGUCCUCCCUCCCCCUCUCUUAGCAUGUAUGGCUGAUGGAGUUGAUUAUGUGGGUGCAUCACCAUGGCCGAGUCCAAUGCAAUCAAUACUAUACUUUAAACUAAAGUGUUGAUUUUGUUAGCACAGUGAUGUAGCCAUUUCAAUUUGCAAAGUAGUGUGAUAUCUAGCACUUAAUGCUCAAUUGCGGACAGGAUAAACUAAUUUAGUUAAUUCUUGUGCUUAUUUGGGUAGUUAUUAA